Molecule: long non-coding RNA, 1021 nt
Organism: Ostrea edulis (European flat oyster)
Lineage: Eukaryota; Metazoa; Mollusca; Bivalvia; Ostreida; Ostreidae
Exons: 2
Source: RefSeq, a predicted model, not a curated record
UGUAUUUUAAUGUUUUCUGAAUUACAAUGAGUUGGUUAUUAAAGAGAAGGGAUUGUAAAACAAAUAAUGACGUCAUACUUCUACACGAAAACCAGAAGAUAUCUCAUUACUUAUUUAGGGUACGUGGUCAGGGGGACAACACUCACCGUGUGUAGGGAUCAAACAAAAAGCUUAAUUUGAAUAUUGUCAUUAAAUUCACAGGUAUACUAGGAUACUGCUCGAUAAGGAAGACGGUAUCUACGAGCUGAUGAUUUUGUGUUGGAAGCCGGACCAAGAAAGUCCUAUACACGACCAUCCUGACUCGCAAUGCAUCAUGAAAAUCUUACAAGGGGAGGUGUUCGAGGACCUGUACACAAUGUCGGAAGGCAAUGAAGUUCAGGCAAUGACACAAAUAGGAGAGCAGAAAACAUAUAUAACGGACCAGAUGAUACACAUCACUGAUGGUGUCGGUGUUCACCGAGUCGGAAACAGUAGUAAGGUGCAUGCCGUCACCUUACAUCUUUAUUAUCCGCCAAUUAUCACGUGUGGAGUGUAUGAUGUCAAAACAGGUACGAAGACUGUAGUCACACCGGAAUUCGACUAAACGUUCGCUUCGGAAAUAUGAUGACAAAACAAGUGAAGUGACCGUAGCCAAUUCGACAUUCGACAAAAACUUUAAAAAGAAGUGUUGAACUCUUUCUAUUCGACAUCUAUAAGGCGGAUCGGAAUUCUGGGGACUAGAAGUAAUAAAGAUAUUGAAUCACAAUGCCUGGGUAAUACCACAUAUCAGGUGGCGGUGAUGUUUUGAUAAACGUCUGUUUCAUACUGUUUUUUACUCGUAUUAUUCCUUUAUGAAAUGCACUCUAUGUAUCUGUUAAGUCCAGGGAUCCGCGCUUGUCCUUCUCUGAAUUUCGUUUUCUUUAUAGCAUUUAUGAGAUUGGCCACUGUUCUUAUCUUCACCUUUUUAUUAUUCACUUGUUACUCAGAAUGUUUCUCCCUUGAUUUAUUACAUAUAUAACCAAUAAAAUUCUCUGUGAAUGAA